AUUAAUUAGCCCAUCUCAUAAUUAACUACUCCAUAUUAUACUACUAAACCUAAUUUUUUCUCUCUCCCAUCGCCGCUAUCUUCUUCAAUCUUCCCCUCUGUAUUUUCCCUUUUCUGUAUUUUCGUUUUCAGUGGUUGCAUCUCCAAAUUUUCUGCACAAGUUCUUCAACCAUCUACAACUCUCUAUAAUCAGGAAGGACUCAAUUGCAAUUUCGGAUGAGUUUUGCGUCGAGCUACAGUGCUACUGCAAAGAUGGAGUAAUACUGUUCAAAAACACAAAAAAGGACAAUUUGGGAUGCGUUUUCGAGUAUGAUUGGAGGUGUUUUUCACUGCAAAAUUGCAUUUUGACGAAUCGUUGGAGAUGCCCAUAGGUUAGUUCAUGCAAGUAUUUAAGUCUCACCGUUCCAAAUUAAAGCAUGGUUGCAACCUCCUCUAGCGUGUGGAAACUUCUAAAAGAAUGCAUGUGAAUGACACGCACAACCAGGCACUUCAAAAGACAACUUAAGUUAGUAUUGUGACAAUAACUCUGUAGUGUUGUAUUCCUAUAACAACAGAAGCUCUGUGAAGUCUAAGCAUGAGAUAAAGUUCCUUUUCGUGAAAGAGGGGGUUCAAACUGGACAAAUAUUUAUAGAGCAUAUAGGAAGAUUUGAUCUCACUAAGGGAUUACCACCCAAAGUAUUUCAUUUGAAUACAACCCAAAUGGGUGUUAUGUUAUUUGAGAAAACUUCUGUUUAGUGGGAUUAAAUUUUGUUAUAUUGCUCUAUAUUAUGGUUUCAGACAUAUUGUUAUGUAACUAAAGUUAUUUUAUAUGGAAUUAAAGUUUGUUUUGUCUA
Long non-coding RNA from Salvia splendens (bonfire salvia), 832 nucleotides. RefSeq lists it as uncharacterized. The record is from RefSeq and is a predicted model, not a curated record. Lineage: Eukaryota; Viridiplantae; Streptophyta; Magnoliopsida; Lamiales; Lamiaceae. The transcript has 2 exons.